Molecule: ribosomal RNA, 490 nt
Filed under: uncultured bacterium
Lineage: Bacteria
Description: partial 16S ribosomal RNA
Rfam family: Bacterial small subunit ribosomal RNA
Source: RNAcentral
GAUGAACGCUAGCUACAGGCUUAACACAUGCAAGUCGAGGGGCAGCAUGGUCUUAGCUUGCUAAGGCCGAUGGCGACCGGCGCACGGGUGAGUAACACGUAUCCAACCUGCCGUCUACUCUUGGACAGCCUUCUGAAAGGAAGAUUAAUACAAGAUGGCAUCAUGAGUUCACAUGUUCACAUGAUUAAAGGUAUUCCGGUAGACGAUGGGGAUGCGUUCCAUUAGAUAGUAGGCGGGGUAACGGCCCACCUAGUCUUCGAUGGAUAGGGGUUCUGAGAGGAAGGUCCCCCACAUUGGAACUGAGACACGGUCCAAACUCCUACGGGCGGCAGCAGUGAGGAAUAUUGGUCAAUGGGCGAGAGCCUGAACCAGCCAAGUAGCGUGAAGGAUGACUGCCCUAUGGGUUGUAAACUUCUUUUAUAAAGGAAUAAAGUCGGGUAUGUAUACCCGUUUGCAUGUACUUUAUGAAUAAGGAUCGGCUAACUCCGUG